UUAGUUACUGUUUGCCGUUCAUUUGUCUGGUGGUUGAGUUCGUCAGUCAUUGAAACAGUUGAGUCCUAAUUUUUGUAGUCGUACUACAAAGGAUUUUUCUCUGAUGCGAGAACUUACUUUAGUAUUCUGCAUGAAAUACAUUAUAGAUUCGUCCGCUGCAAGAUUAUGGUGCCUGAGUGUGGCAGAGAGGAAAGGGAACUCGAUCGGUGCGGUGUCGGAGCUCCUCGCGUGGGGCACACGUGCCGAUGUUAAUGCUGUGUACCGGAGGUGGUAAAGUAGAGGCACACGGUGUAAUACUGGCUGCCAGAAACCCUGUUGUCACAGCUGUGCUGGUGUGGCAUGACACAGCAGAAACUGCCAGUGACUGUGUCCACAUACUGGACAUAGAGACCACCGCUGUGAACCACCUUGUCCGUUACGUGUCUGUGGUACAACUAUUGGCAGCUGCAGACAAAUAUGACCCCCAUCUCCUAAAGGAGCCUCGUAAAGACAGUACUUGGUUGUAAUGGCCAACAAACUAGCAAAUGUCUGAAUGAUG
Schistocerca americana (American grasshopper) is the source of this 538-nucleotide long non-coding RNA. RefSeq lists it as uncharacterized. The record is from RefSeq and is a predicted model, not a curated record. The transcript is spliced from 3 exons. NCBI's taxonomy places the organism in Eukaryota, Metazoa, Arthropoda, Insecta, Orthoptera, Acrididae.